GACGAACGCUGGCGGCGUGCUUAACACAUGCAAGUCGAACGAAGUGGCGAACGGGUGAGUAACGCGUAAUCAACCUGCCCUUCAGCGGGGGACAACAGUUGGAAACGACUGCUAAUACCGCAUCCUGAAGGGGGGGAUUGCGUCGUAUUAGCUAGUUGGAGGGGUAACGGCCCACAAAGGCGAUGAUCAGUAGCCGGGCUGAGAGGAUGAACGGCCACAUUGGGACUGAGACACGGCCCAGACUCCUACGGGAGGCAGCAGUGGGGAAUCUGCCGCAAUGGACGAAAGUCUGACGGAGCAACGCCGCGUGAGUGAUGACGGCCUUCGGGUUGUAAAGCUCUGUUAAUCGGGACGCGGUACCGGAAUAGAAAGCCACGGCUAACUACGUGCCAGCAGCCGCGGUAAUUC
This 408-nucleotide ribosomal RNA is filed under the name uncultured bacterium. RNAcentral describes it as "partial 16S ribosomal RNA". It matches the Rfam family "Bacterial small subunit ribosomal RNA", at positions 28 to 526 of the family's 1533-position model. The record is from RNAcentral.